This is a long non-coding RNA of Austrofundulus limnaeus, 232 nucleotides long. RefSeq lists it as uncharacterized. The transcript is spliced from 3 exons. Lineage: Eukaryota; Metazoa; Chordata; Actinopteri; Cyprinodontiformes; Rivulidae. The record is from RefSeq and is a predicted model, not a curated record.
AUGACGUAACAAGAGGAAAAACAGACUGCACUGUCGAGAAACCUAUUUUCAGAUCCAACUCAGUGGCUGUUUUUAUCGUCUCCUACGGGUUCAAUCCCAGCAGACAACUUGAAAGGAGGAUAUUUGUCACUGCAAAUGCGACCAGUGACAAUAAGGAGCACUCCAAAUCCAGUGAACUCUACAAGAAGAAAGAGAUUGAAGUGAAGCACAGCAUCUCAGUUACAAUAGAAAG